GAUUAACGCUAGCGGCAGGCCUAAUACAUGCAAGUCGAACGGCAGCACGGGUAGCAAUACCUGGUGGCGAGUGGCGCACGGGUGCGUAACGCGUAUGCAAUCUACCUGUAACUGGGGAAUAGCCUUCCGAAAGGAAGAUUAACACCGCAUAAAAUCACGAAGCGGCAUCGUUUUGUGAUCAAAUCUCCGGAGGUUACAGAUGAGCAUGCGUGACAUUAGCUAGUUGGUGAGGUAACGGCCCACCAAGGCUACGAUGUCUAGGGGGUCUGAGAGGAUGACUCCCCCACACUGGUACUGAGACACGGACCAGACUCCUACGGGAGGCAGCAGUAAGGAAUAUUGGACAAUGGGCGCAAGCCUGAUCCAGCCAUGCCGCGUGCAGGAU
RNAcentral lists this ribosomal RNA (385 nucleotides) under uncultured bacterium. Its description in RNAcentral is "bacterial SSU rRNA". It matches the Rfam family "Bacterial small subunit ribosomal RNA", at positions 28 to 409 of the family's 1533-position model. The record is from RNAcentral.